This 347-nucleotide long non-coding RNA is filed under the name Elaeis guineensis (African oil palm). RNAcentral's name for it is "long non-coding RNA (EGUI_LNC067667)". Lineage: Eukaryota; Viridiplantae; Streptophyta; Magnoliopsida; Arecales; Arecaceae. The record is from RNAcentral.
CUGGCUUCCAAAGCAAUACCUAAGAUCUGCUUCUCCUUCCAAUACUCUAAAGGUAACUCUAAUUACCUAAGCCACACCACCGUGUGGCUCACCGCCCUAGUCCCAAGCAUAAAGUUGGCCACUCAGGGCUCCAUUGCUAGUUGCUGGUCCACAAUGAACCAUGGGCUAUUGGAGAGAGCUACCUCACAGUCACUGACCAACCAAAACCGCAACAAGUGGUGGUCUCCUGCCAAGGCUUUACAUCAUAAACCUCACAACUGAAACCUCUACAUCAUAAUCCAGUUUCCCCUUCUCCUUAAUCUCCUUUACCACCCACUCCAACAGAACCCUCCACUCGAGACUCCGGG